Molecule: transfer RNA, 74 nt
Filed under: Bacillus haynesii
Lineage: Bacteria; Bacillati; Bacillota; Bacilli; Caryophanales; Bacillaceae
Description: tRNA-Met
Rfam family: tRNA
About the family: Transfer RNA (tRNA) molecules are approximately 80 nucleotides in length. Their secondary structure includes four short double-helical elements and three loops (D, anti-codon, and T loops).
Source: RNAcentral
AGCGGAGAGCAGUUCGGUAGCUCGUCGGGCUCAUAACCCGAAGGUCGCAGGUUCAAAUCCUGCCCCCGCAACCA